GGGCGAGUGGCGGAACUGGCAGACGCACUAGCUUCAGGAGCUAGCGGGCGCAAGCUCUUAAGGGUUCGACUCCCUUCUCGCCCACCA
Molecule: transfer RNA, 87 nt
Filed under: Patescibacteria group bacterium
Lineage: Bacteria
Description: tRNA-Leu
Rfam family: tRNA
About the family: Transfer RNA (tRNA) molecules are approximately 80 nucleotides in length.
Source: RNAcentral